AGUGAACGCUGGCGGUAGGCCUAACACAUGCAAGUCGAACGGCAGCACAGUAAGAGCUUGCUCUUACGGGUGGUGAGUGGCGGACGGGUGAGGAAUACAUCGGAAUCUACUUUUUCGUGGGGGAUAACGUAGGGAAACUUACGCUAAUACCGCAUACGACCUACGGGUGAAAGCAGGGGAUCUUCGGACCUUGCGCGAUUGAAUGAGCCGAUGUCGGAUUAGCUAGUUGGCGGGGUAAAGGCCCACCAAGGCGACGAUCCGUAGCUGGUCUGAGAGGAUGAUCAGCCACACUGGAACUGAGACACGGUCCAGACUCCUACGGGAGGCAGCAGUGGGGAAUAUUGGACAAUGGGCGCAAGCCUGAUCCAGCCAUACCGCGUGAGUGAAGAAGGCCUUCGGGUUGUAAAGCCCUUUUGUUGGGAAAGAAAAGCAGCAGGUUAAUACCCCGCUGUUCUGACGGUACCCAAAGAAUAAGCACCGGCUAACUUCGUG
Molecule: ribosomal RNA, 492 nt
Filed under: uncultured bacterium
Lineage: Bacteria
Description: partial 16S ribosomal RNA
Rfam family: Bacterial small subunit ribosomal RNA
Source: RNAcentral